Heligmosomoides polygyrus is the source of this 75-nucleotide non-coding RNA. NCBI's taxonomy places the organism in Eukaryota, Metazoa, Nematoda, Chromadorea, Rhabditida, Heligmosomidae. The record is from Rfam.
GCGCCGGUGGUGUAAUGGCGUAGAGCAUUCCCACCCGGUCAGAGGGAGGUGCGGGUUCGAGUCCCGCCUGGCGCU